ACUGGGCAUGGUGGCGCAUGCCUGUAGUCCCAGCUACUCGGGAGGCUGAGGCAGGAGAAUCGCUUGAACCCAGGAGGCGGAGGUUGCAGUGAGCUGGGAUCAUGCCACUGCACUCCAGCCUGGGUGACAGAGUGAGACUCUGUCUCCA
Molecule: unclassified non-coding RNA, 148 nt
Organism: Pongo abelii (Sumatran orangutan)
Lineage: Eukaryota; Metazoa; Chordata; Mammalia; Primates; Hominidae
Rfam family: Metazoan signal recognition particle RNA
About the family: The signal recognition particle (SRP) is a universally conserved ribonucleoprotein. It is involved in the co-translational targeting of proteins to membranes.
Source: Ensembl